AGGACGAACGCUGGCGGCGUGCCUAACACAUGCAAGUCGAACGGGGGUAGCAAUACCCCAGUGGCGAACGGGUGCGUAACACGUGAAGAACUUGUCCAUCGGCGGGGGAUAGCCGGCCCAACGGCCGGGUAAUACCGCGUACGCCGUCUGAAGCGCAUGCUUCGGCCGGGAAAGCAGCAAUGCACCGAUGGAGAGCUUCGCGGCCUAUCAGCUAGUUGGCGGGGUAAUGGCCCACCAAGGCAACGACGGGUAGCUGGUCUGAGAGGAUGACCAGCCACAUUGGGACUGAGACACGGCCCAGACUCCUACGGGAGGCAGCAGUGGGGAAUAUUGCGCAAUGGGGGAAACCCUGACGCAGCGACGCCGCGUGUGGGAUGACGGCCUUCGGGUUGUAACCACUGUCGCGAGGGACGAAAAAUAGACGGUACCUCGAAGGAAGCACCGGCUAACUCUGCGCCAGCAGCCGC
Molecule: ribosomal RNA, 467 nt
Filed under: uncultured bacterium
Lineage: Bacteria
Description: SSU rRNA
Rfam family: Bacterial small subunit ribosomal RNA
Source: RNAcentral